Molecule: long non-coding RNA, 326 nt
Organism: Mangifera indica (mango)
Lineage: Eukaryota; Viridiplantae; Streptophyta; Magnoliopsida; Sapindales; Anacardiaceae
Exons: 2
Source: RefSeq, a predicted model, not a curated record
CAGACUACAGUAACAUAAAGCAAAAAGGAAAGAACAUAAGGAGAAAGAAGAGGCAGAAGUCUGAACUCGCUCUCCCACGGGAGACUGAAAGUGGAAGUGGGUGUAGUUGUGACGGCAUCGCCAAACUCAGAACAAAAAAAGCCCUUUUUCUUACAAAGUGCUUUUGGCAUUCCUGUUUAAGGGGUUGGCAUACGUUUACCGAGUAAUUGGUACUUGGGUUCUGCUGUUUGCAUUUGAUGGGAAAAGAAGAAAAUCAAAGUGCGUUUUUAGGAAGUACUUGUCAGUGAGAUCAAUUCAAAGGUAAUUUAGAGGGAGUAUUAUUUUUA